This 219-nucleotide small nucleolar RNA is filed under the name Oncorhynchus tshawytscha (Chinook salmon). RNAcentral describes it as "Small nucleolar RNA U3". It matches the Rfam family "Small nucleolar RNA U3". From Rfam's summary of the family: Small nucleolar RNAs (snoRNAs) are involved in the processing and modification of rRNA in the nucleolus. There are two main classes of snoRNAs: the box C/D class, and the box H/ACA class. The record is from Rfam by way of RNAcentral. Lineage: Eukaryota; Metazoa; Chordata; Actinopteri; Salmoniformes; Salmonidae.
UUUAAAUUACUUUUCAGGCGAUCAUUUCUAAGUUCUUGAACAUGCGAAAUGUGUUUCUAAAGUUGUUGAUUCUCGCAACCCCACGAAGGAUUAGACGUGAAUAUUCCCGUCUGAGCGCGAGCGGGCUUUUGAGUAAGAUUCAGUUCAUCCCUCUCUGCCAUAAUGACCGUUGUCUUUGCUCCUUGGGAGAGCAUUGGGGAGGGAAUGGACCAGAGUGGU